Molecule: non-coding RNA, 484 nt
Organism: Misgurnus anguillicaudatus (oriental weatherfish)
Lineage: Eukaryota; Metazoa; Chordata; Actinopteri; Cypriniformes; Cobitidae
Source: RefSeq, a predicted model, not a curated record
UUUAUUUCUGCUAGCAUGGACAUACUUGUAAUGCAGAAAGGACCCGAUGUUUUGGACAUCGAUAAAGAUGUAUAAGACCAAUGGAGAUUAACUUGGCUUAGCGAAAUGAGGAAGAUUGGCAAGCUUUCAGUUCGUGGGCUAAGAAAUUCAAACAGAGGACCCCAACUGAUUUCCCCCUAGUGUUAAAUACAAAAUGAGGCCAGAGACUGUUUGUCACGGUUCAUUCCAGCCACCUGUGUGUUGAUUGUCUCGCUCCAGCUGAUCAUCACCACCCAGUUAUAUACUCACCGCUGUCUCUGUCUCUCGUCAGAUCUUCACUCUACGUUUGUGCAGAUAUUCUCUGGAUUACCGUGUUUUGUUCCCGUGCUUGGAGUAGUCUUCUCUCACUACCGUAGUCCUUCGUUCACCAUUGCAACACUCUGGACUCAUCAGCUCUGUCAUUGUUUAUUGCAUGUUUACAUAUUGUAAAUAAACCUUCACUGAU